RNAcentral lists this ribosomal RNA (375 nucleotides) under Triticum aestivum (bread wheat). Its description in RNAcentral is "partial small subunit ribosomal RNA". The record is from RNAcentral. Lineage: Eukaryota; Viridiplantae; Streptophyta; Magnoliopsida; Poales; Poaceae.
GCGCCAGUCCAUGAAAGGUGGAUGAAGGUGAGUUUGACUACGAACUCGAGGAUGCUGGGAACGAUCUCUUUUCGGGGAAUCACUCCCGUCGAGAGGCCCUCUUCCUCCCUUUUUCUGAAUCUGGUAGAGAGGCAAAAGAGAAGUCCAGAGAGACCUCGACUCUUUCAGGGAAAGGAGGGAGAUCGAAUGCGAGAUGGAGUCCCUGCCGAAUGGAAUGGACAUCCUUGGGGACAGCUGUGUAAGACUUAAUUUACCAAAAAAUGGGACGGAAAAACUACUAAAAAGAUCACAAGAAACCCAGCUCAAAGUGAAUGGAGAGAGAACCCCUGCGCCUUGGAAGGAUCUGAAGCUAUUCGGACACUCAUAGACAAGUGA